AGAACGAACGCUGGCGGCAGGCUUAAUACAUGCAAGUCGAGCGCACCGCAAGGUGAGCGGCAGACGGGUGAGUAACGCGUGGGAAUCUACCCAGUCCUUCGGAAUAACACAGGGAAACUUGUGCUAAUACCGGAUACGCCCUACGGGGGAAAGAUUUAUCGGGAUUGGAUGAGCCCGCGUUGGAUUAGCUAGUUGGUGGGGUAAUGGCCUACCAAGGCGACGAUCCAUAGCUGGUCUGAGAGGAUGAUCAGCCACACUGGGACUGAGACACGGCCCAGACUCCUACGGGAGGCAGCAGUGGGGAAUAUUGGACAAUGGGCGAAAGCCUGAUCCAGCCAUGCCGCGUGAGUGAUGAAGGCCUUAGGGUUGUAAAGCUCUUUCAGUAGGGAAGAUAAUGACGGUACCUACAGAAGAAGCCCCGGAUAACUUCGUGCCAGCAGCCGC
Molecule: ribosomal RNA, 444 nt
Filed under: uncultured bacterium
Lineage: Bacteria
Description: SSU rRNA
Rfam family: Bacterial small subunit ribosomal RNA
Source: RNAcentral